UGCGUAGGCGGCCUGGCAAGUUGGGUGUGAAAUCCCUCGGCUCAACCGAGGAACUGCGCUCAAAACUGCCAGGCUUGAGGGAGACAGAGGUGAGCGGAACUGAUGGUGGAGCGGUGAAAUGCGUUGAUAUCAUCAGGAACACCGGUGGCGAAGGCGGCUCACUGGGUCUCUUCUGACGCUGAGGCACGAAAGCUAGGGGAGCGAACG
RNAcentral lists this ribosomal RNA (207 nucleotides) under uncultured bacterium. RNAcentral describes it as "partial 16S ribosomal RNA". It matches the Rfam family "Bacterial small subunit ribosomal RNA", at positions 568 to 774 of the family's 1533-position model. The record is from RNAcentral.